CGCGGUAAUUCCAGCUCCAAUAGCGUAUAUUAAAGUUGUUGCCGUUAAAAAGCUCGUAGUUGAACCUUGGACCUGGCUGAUCUGUCCUCCUAAUCGAGCGUACGGAUUCGGUCGGGUCUUUCCUUCUGGGGAGCCCUAUGUCCUUUACUGGUCGUAGCGGGGAACCAGGACUUUUACCUUGAAAAAAUUAGAGUGUUCAAAGCAGGCCUUUGCUCGAAUACAUUAGCAUGGAAUAAUAGAAUAGGACAUCGGUUCUAUUUUGUUGGUUUCUAGGACCGCCGUAAUGAUUAAUAGGGACAGUCGGGGGCAUCAGUAUUCAAUUGUCAGAGGUGAAAUUCUUGGAUUUAUUGAAGACGAACUACUGCGAAAGCAUUC
This 375-nucleotide ribosomal RNA is filed under the name uncultured eukaryote. RNAcentral describes it as "SSU rRNA". It matches the Rfam family "Eukaryotic small subunit ribosomal RNA", at positions 575 to 956 of the family's 1831-position model. The record is from RNAcentral.